GGGCGUGUAGCUCAGCGGUAGAGCGCUGCCCUUACAAGGCAGAUGUCGGCGGUUCGAAACCGUCCACGCCCA
Molecule: transfer RNA, 72 nt
Filed under: Actinacidiphila glaucinigra
Lineage: Bacteria; Bacillati; Actinomycetota; Actinomycetes; Kitasatosporales; Streptomycetaceae
Also listed under: 3 other names
Description: Streptomyces glauciniger tRNA
Rfam family: tRNA
About the family: Transfer RNA (tRNA) molecules are approximately 80 nucleotides in length. Their secondary structure includes four short double-helical elements and three loops (D, anti-codon, and T loops).
Source: Rfam by way of RNAcentral